RNAcentral lists this ribosomal RNA (327 nucleotides) under Escherichia coli. RNAcentral's name for it is "bacterial SSU rRNA". It matches the Rfam family "Bacterial small subunit ribosomal RNA", at positions 1 to 324 of the family's 1533-position model. The record is from RNAcentral. RNAcentral also lists the same sequence under 2 other names. Lineage: Bacteria; Pseudomonadati; Pseudomonadota; Gammaproteobacteria; Enterobacterales; Enterobacteriaceae.
AAAUUGAAGAGUUUGAUCAUGGCUCAGAUUGAACGCUGGCGGCAGGCCUAACACAUGCAAGUCGAACGGUAACAGGAAGCAGCUUGCUGCUUCGCUGACGAGUGGCGGACGGGUGAGUAAUGUCUGGGAAACUGCCUGAUGGAGGGGGAUAACUACUGGAAACGGUAGCUAAUACCGCAUAAUGUCGCAAGACCAAAGAGGGGGACCUUCGGGCCUCUUGCCAUCGGAUGUGCCCAGAUGGGAUUAGCUUGUUGGUGGGGUAACGGCUCACCAAGGCGACGAUCCCUAGCUGGUCUGAGAGGAUGACCAGCCACACUGGAACUGAGA